This is a long non-coding RNA of Aethina tumida (small hive beetle), 1717 nucleotides long. RefSeq lists it as uncharacterized. The record is from RefSeq and is a predicted model, not a curated record. The transcript is spliced from 2 exons. NCBI's taxonomy places the organism in Eukaryota, Metazoa, Arthropoda, Insecta, Coleoptera, Nitidulidae.
UCGAGAAAAUUUUUGAAGUCAAUAAAAUAUGUUUAAAAUUUACGGACAACAUGGCUUUAAUAAAAUUAUGAACCAAACAUGGCUUGACCAGACGCUGAUUUUACUCGUUUAACAUCUGAUCAGGAAUUAAAAUAUUUUUUACAUGUUUAUUUCAUGACUGCUCUUCACCAGAACUAAAUAUGGAGUAAUAUAAAAUUUCAAUAAUGUACAGUCCAAUAGUCACAUAAAAGAUUAUCCUCCAUGCCCUGAUGCCUGGCUGCAAAUGUAUAAUUUAGUAACAACAAAUUUUCAUCUAGAUAGAUCCGUACUUACAUCAAUUCCACAAGAGAAUGCCUGCCGUUGUGACGACCGUAUGUGGCAAGUAUUAGAGUCUCAGCAAAAUUUGAAGCGAUGUUGUUAUCAUUGGAGUGGAAAACGCAGAAUACUCCUCCGAGGAACGAUGAGGUUAUGUUUUGAGUGACGGUUAUCAGGAUUAAGGAUAUUGUGCAAAGUAUUACUGAGAAUCAUCAGACGGUGUUAUUGAAUUGUUUUUAUGGACUGUGAUAACGUACGUUACUAAAUAUCCACAUAUAGACAAAUUGGAGCAAAGAUAAAACUGUUUUCAUAAGUGACAUAUAUAUCGAUAGUUCAAUAAGUACCAUGUACCAUCCCCAAUUGAUGCAUCUUUGUGUUACCAAAUUAGUCAGGAAUGACGUCGACGUAAAAAUCCAUUUCAAACAUUUCAAUAAUUUUUGUUAAAAAUAAUUUACUUCGUGUAGUAGAACUGUCUUUUCUCCACGCAUCAGUAAUGCCACUAAAAUCUGUUUCUUUUUCAAUAAUGAUCAUGGCCACAGAAGGAACGCCUACAACACACAGCACCCAUAAGAAACCCCAAAUCAACGGCUUUCCAUCUCAGAUGACUGGUGAUCAAUCUGGAAAAUAGCAUGAAAAUUAGUCGCAAAAAGCACAAAUCCAGUGACAUAACUACCAAAAGCCAAGAGUCGUACCGACAUAUUCAGUACUCUGCUCAUAAUGAUACUUUCAUUUGGCGGCGUUUAUUGUGCCUUAAGAACGUGCAUGGCGGGGACGGUUACACCACCCCCAAUAUCUUGAACCACACAGCGAUCAGGACGUCAACAUCGGUUUGUGAUCCAGAUAGGUGAGAGCAGUCCGCAAACAAGGAUUAUGACAACGAAGACCAUUAUCCAUUUGGCACUGAACACAUAGGACACUGCUGCACCUAAAAUCUCCGUCAUCAUGUAACCGCAGAAAUAGUCGCUUAAUGUAAUACCUUGAACAUUAGUGGAUCAUCCGAAAAAAACAUUCUUGAAAAAGAAUUAUCAAAUAUGAUAAAGAGAGAAGAUAUCCGUACUAAAAAUAACACUUCUCACGACGGAUUUUAUCAUUCAUCGCAUACCCAAGAGGUAAUUUUAAAAUCAUUGUUGACGCAAUGGUUCAUUUAAUUAAAUACGUUUUAAAUUGGCCAGGGCCCGAAUACGACUGGGUCAUCUUAAUUUGUAGGAGACCCAACGAGAUUAAACGGUUUAUUUCUAACACCGAUGUAUCUGAUGAAUAUAUAACAUCCACCUCAUUUGUAUCCUCUUCAAAUGAAGAUCCAAGUAGUGGACAUUUUGGGUCAACUGUGACAUAAUUGGGACGAACGUCAUCAUCGGUAAUCAAAGCUGUAUAAACCCAAAAUUGUAAUGAUGUUAAAAUAAAUCUGGAAAGUAAACUAAAA